UCCGAGUUGACCCCGGCAGUCUCCUGCGAGUCCCCGCCAUUACGCGCUGGCAACACAGGACAAGGGUUGCGCUCGUUGCGGGACUUAACCCAACAUCUCACGACACGAGCUGACGACAGCCAUGCACCACCUGUAUACCGACCACAAGGGGGGCCGUAUCUCUACGGCUUUCCGGUAUAUGUCAAACCCAGGUAAGGUUCUUCGCGUUGGAGGAAUUCCA
This 220-nucleotide unclassified non-coding RNA is filed under the name uncultured Nocardiaceae bacterium. Its description in RNAcentral is "contains 16S-23S intergenic spacer region". The record is from RNAcentral. Lineage: Bacteria; Bacillati; Actinomycetota; Actinomycetes; Mycobacteriales; Nocardiaceae.